UUAAGCGACUAAGCGUACACGGUGGAUGCCCUGGCAGUCAGAGGCGAUGAAGGACGUGCUAAUCUGCGAUAAGCGUCGGUAAGGUGAUAUGAACCGUUAUAACCGGCGAUUUCCGAAUGGGGAAACCCAGUGUGUUUCGACACACUAUCAUUAACUGAAUCCAUAGGUUAAUGAGGCGAACCGGGGGAACUGAAACAUCUAAGUACCCCGAGGAAAAGAAAUCAACCGAGAUUCCCCCAGUAGCGGCGAGCGAACGGGGAGCAGCCCAGAGCCUAAAUCAGUGUGUGUGUUAGUGGAAGCGUCUGGAAAGGCGCGCGAUACAGGGUGACAGCCCCGUACACAAAAAUGCACAUGCUGUGAGCUCGAUGAGUAGGGCGGGACACGUGGUAUCCUGUCUGAAUAUGGGGGGACCAUCCUCCAAGGCUAAAUACUCCUGACUGACCGAUAGUGAACCAGUACCGUGAGGGAAAGGCGAAAAGAACCCCGGCGAGGGGAGUGAAAAAGAACCUGAAACCGUGUACGUACAAGCAGUGGGAGCACGCUUAGGCGUGUGACUGCGUACCUUUUGUAUAAUGGGUCAGCGACUUAUAUUCUGUAGCAAGGUUAACCGAAUAGGGGAGCCGAAGGGAAACCGAGUCUUAACUGGGCGUUAAGUUGCAGGGUAUAGACCCGAAACCCGGUGAUCUAGCCAUGGGCAGGUUGAAGGUUGGGUAACACUAACUGGAGGACCGAACCGACUAAUGUUGAAAAAUUAGCGGAUGACUUGUGGCUGGGGGUGAAAGGCCAAUCAAACCGGGAGAUAGCUGGUUCUCCCCGAAAGCUAUUUAGGUAGCGCCUCGUGAAUUCAUCUCCGGGGGUAGAGCACUGUUUCGGCAAGGGGGUCAUCCCGACUUACCAACCCGAUGCAAACUGCGAAUACCGGAGAAUGUUAUCACGGGAGACACACGGCGGGUGCUAACGUCCGUCGUGAAGAGGGAAACAACCCAGACCGCCAGCUAAGGUCCCAAAGUCAUGGUUAAGUGGGAAACGAUGUGGGAAGGCCCAGACAGCCAGGAUGUUGGCUUAGAAGCAGCCAUCAUUUAAAGAAAGCGUAAUAGCUCACUGGUCGAGUCGGCCUGCGCGGAAGAUGUAACGGGGCUAAACCAUGCACCGAAGCUGCGGCAGCGACACUAUGUGUUGUUGGGUAGGGGAGCGUUCUGUAAGCCUGUGAAGGUGUACUGUGAGGCAUGCUGGAGGUAUCAGAAGUGCGAAUGCUGACAUAAGUAACGAUAAAGCGGGUGAAAAGCCCGCUCGCCGGAAGACCAAGGGUUCCUGUCCAACGUUAAUCGGGGCAGGGUGAGUCGACCCCUAAGGCGAGGCCGAAAGGCGUAGUCGAUGGGAAACAGGUUAAUAUUCCUGUACUUGGUGUUACUGCGAAGGGGGGACGGAGAAGGCUAUGUUGGCCGGGCGACGGUUGUCCCGGUUUAAGCGUGUAGGCUGGUUUUCCAGGCAAAUCCGGAAAAUCAAGGCUGAGGCGUGAUGACGAGGCACUACGGUGCUGAAGCAACAAAUGCCCUGCUUCCAGGAAAAGCCUCUAAGCAUCAGGUAACAUCAAAUCGUACCCCAAACCGACACAGGUGGUCAGGUAGAGAAUACCAAGGCGCUUGAGAGAACUCGGGUGAAGGAACUAGGCAAAAUGGUGCCGUAACUUCGGGAGAAGGCACGCUGAUAUGUAGGUGAAGUCCCUCGCGGAUGGAGCUGAAAUCAGUCGAAGAUACCAGCUGGCUGCAACUGUUUAUUAAAAACACAGCACUGUGCAAACACGAAAGUGGACGUAUACGGUGUGACGCCUGCCCGGUGCCGGAAGGUUAAUUGAUGGGGUNNNNNNNNNNNAGCGCAAGCGAAGCUCUUGAUCGAAGCCCCGGUAAACGGCGGCCGUAACUAUAACGGUCCUAAGGUAGCGAAAUUCCUUGUCGGGUAAGUUCCGACCUGCACGAAUGGCGUAAUGAUGGCCAGGCUGUCUCCACCCGAGACUCAGUGAAAUUGAACUCGCUGUGAAGAUGCAGUGUACCCGCGGCAAGACGGAAAGACCCCGUGAACCUUUACUAUAGCUUGACACUGAACAUUGAGCCUUGAUGUGUAGGAUAGGUGGGAGGCUUUGAAGUGUGGACGCCAGUCUGCAUGGAGCCGACCUUGAAAUACCACCCUUUAAUGUUUGAUGUUCUAACGUUGACCCGUAAUCCGGGUUGCGGACAGUGUCUGGUGGGUAGUUUGACUGGGGCGGUCUCCUCCUAAAGAGUAACGGAGGAGCACGAAGGUUGGCUAAUCCUGGUCGGACAUCAGGAGGUUAGUGCAAUGGCAUAAGCCAGCUUGACUGCGAGCGUGACGGCGCGAGCAGGUGCGAAAGCAGGUCAUAGUGAUCCGGUGGUUCUGAAUGGAAGGGCCAUCGCUCAACGGAUAAAAGGUACUCCGGGGAUAACAGGCUGAUACCGCCCAAGAGUUCAUAUCGACGGCGGUGUUUGGCACCUCGAUGUCGGCUCAUCACAUCCUGGGGCUGAAGUAGGUCCCAAGGGUAUGGCUGUUCGCCAUUUAAAGUGGUACGCGAGCUGGGUUUAGAACGUCGUGAGACAGUUCGGUCCCUAUCUGCCGUGGGCGCUGGAGAACUGAGGGGGGCUGCUCCUAGUACGAGAGGACCGGAGUGGACGCAUCACUGGUGUUCGGGUUGUCAUGCCAAUGGCACUGCCCGGUAGCUAAAUGCGGAAGAGAUAAGUGCUGAAAGCAUCUAAGCACGAAACUUGCCCCGAGAUGAGUUCUCCCUGACUCCUUGAGAGUCCUGAAGGAACGUUGAAGACGACGACGUUGAUAGGCCGGGUGUGUAAGCGCAGCGAUGCGUUGAGCUAACCGGUACUAAUGAACCGUGAGGCUUAACCUU
This 2911-nucleotide ribosomal RNA is filed under the name Escherichia coli. RNAcentral describes it as "bacterial LSU rRNA". It matches the Rfam family "Bacterial large subunit ribosomal RNA". Lineage: Bacteria; Pseudomonadati; Pseudomonadota; Gammaproteobacteria; Enterobacterales; Enterobacteriaceae. The record is from RNAcentral.